This 78-nucleotide transfer RNA is filed under the name Escherichia albertii TW07627. RNAcentral's name for it is "tRNA-Met". It matches the Rfam family "tRNA". Rfam says of the family: Transfer RNA (tRNA) molecules are approximately 80 nucleotides in length. Their secondary structure includes four short double-helical elements and three loops (D, anti-codon, and T loops). The record is from RNAcentral. Lineage: Bacteria; Pseudomonadati; Pseudomonadota; Gammaproteobacteria; Enterobacterales; Enterobacteriaceae.
UGGCCCCUUAGCUCAGUGGUUAGAGCAGGCGACUCAUAAUCGCUUGGUCGUUGGUUCAAACCCAACAGGGGCUACCAU